This is a long non-coding RNA of Stegastes partitus (bicolor damselfish), 1205 nucleotides long. RefSeq lists it as uncharacterized. The transcript has 4 exons. Lineage: Eukaryota; Metazoa; Chordata; Actinopteri; Pomacentridae. The record is from RefSeq and is a predicted model, not a curated record.
UGUGGUUUCUUCAUCUGUGUUUCCUGUUUGGAUCAACAGGCUUGUUCUGAGGUCUGCAGCUCCGUGAACAUCACUGACAAGAAGUGCCAGUGUCUCCACUUCAACGUGUCACAAGGGGAAUGUGCCUUUCCUAAUUCAUUCAUCGCAGGCCUGAAGUUCCUGAUGCCAGACCCUCCCAGUCAGAGGAACGCCAUCCAUCAUCUGAUCAGGAGGCUGGAGAAGAUGAGCGGCGACUGCGUGGUGAACUUCUGCUCGCUGUCUGCGCUGUCCGAGUUCAACACGUCCAUCAUUUCACCAAAAGUCUUUCACAAGCAUCUGGAAAAGCUGACUCAGGAGUACAACGUCAAGUUUCAGUGACGUGACGAAUCCCAUCAUCACGUGUGUCUUCAGAGUUUCAUCUGGACGUCCAUCAAGCUCAGAACAUCUCCAGUAAUCAGCAUGUGUUUGUCUCCUUUAAAACUGUUUGAAACUCAGCUGGUUGCUGCACAGCGCCACCAUCUGGUUAAAUACAGUAGUGUGUUUAAUGUCAUCCAGAGCACCUCUGACACGUUUAGCGGUCUUCAUUCAAACACUGUUGUUGACCACCAACGUAGAGCUCCCAGCUUAUUAUUAUAUCCACAUUGUGACUUUCACUGUCAGCAGAAUUUAUCAAAGGAUUUUAUACAGUUUGUGACCAAAGUGGACCCAGGACAGAAAAAAUGGAAAAUUAAUGAAUAAUACACAAACAUUGGUGUUCAAGGAAGGAAUCAAUACGUGAACAUCAUGAGACUUUAUCGUAUAUUUUAUUGGUCAUCAGUCAAAUCAAUCAGCGGUUAAAGCCAACACUAAGCAGCGGCGCUCCGUGAACUCAACGUGACACGUGAUGUACGUCUCCUCAUGUACUGGUUGUUGCUUAUUAUUUAUUUAUUUAUUACUAACUUAUCAGUGCAUGGUUUACCUGCUGUCCCUGGCUUACCUGGUUUACCUGCUGUCCCUGGCUUACCUGGUUUACCUGCUGUCCCUGGCUUACCUGUCCAGUGUUGUUGUGUGUUUGUGCUGGAGUGACACACAUUCAGCUGAAGUGAAGCAUCCUGCUGCAGUCCAAAGACUCGACUGUCUGUUCGGGACCAUUUUUGGGUUCAUGUUCUGGAACCUUGUUUUUAAACGUGUCCUGUGAAUCGGCUGGUCGACUCCGAGUCCAUAAAUAAAGUUCUUAUUGUCAUGAA